Molecule: ribosomal RNA, 465 nt
Filed under: uncultured bacterium
Lineage: Bacteria
Description: partial 16S ribosomal RNA
Rfam family: Bacterial small subunit ribosomal RNA
Source: RNAcentral
CCUACGGGUGGCAGCAGUGGGGAAUAUUGCGCAAUGGGCGAAAGCCUGACGCAGCGACGCCGCGUGAGGGAUGAAGGUCUUCGGAUUGUAAACCUCUGUCAGCAGGGAAGAACGGUCACUGUGUUAAUCAGCAGUGAAUUGACGGUAACUGCAAAGGAAGCACCGGCUAACUCCGUGCCAGCAGCCGCGGGAACACGGAGGGUGCGAGCGUUAAUCGGAAUUACUGGGCGUAAAGGGCUCGUAGGCGGUAUGUCAAGUCAAGGGUGAAAUCCCCGCGCUCAACGUGGGAACUGCCUUUGAAACUGGCAAACUGGAGUGUAGGAGAGGAAAGUGGAAUUCCUGGUGUAGGGGUGAAAUGCGUAGAUAUCUGGAGGAACAUCAGUGGCGAAGGCGACUAUCUGGCACGUAACUGACGCUGAGGAGCGAAAGCGUGGGUAGCAAACAGGAUUAGAUACCCUAGUAGUC